RNAcentral lists this transfer RNA (68 nucleotides) under Carabus smaragdinus. RNAcentral describes it as "tRNA-His". RNAcentral also lists the same sequence under 5 other names. The record is from RNAcentral. Lineage: Eukaryota; Metazoa; Arthropoda; Insecta; Coleoptera; Carabidae.
AUUUAAGUAAUUUAAAAUUAAAAUUUUGAUUUGUGGUGUCAAAUAUGUAAGAUUUCUUACCUUAAAUU